Drosophila rhopaloa is the source of this 2243-nucleotide RNA transcript. It is a transcript of the gene named YEATS domain-containing protein 4, with no coding region annotated. The transcript is spliced from 5 exons. The record is from RefSeq and is a predicted model, not a curated record. Lineage: Eukaryota; Metazoa; Arthropoda; Insecta; Diptera; Drosophilidae.
GCAACGCUUCACCAAAAGGAAGAAGAAGAACAACAACAAGAUUUUACUGAGCUACAACGUAAAGAAAUUAAAAUCAUUAUAAUAUGACAGACUUUGGAGGAGAUUCUGGUGGACGGCUAAAGGGCGUAACUAUAGUCAAACCCAUUGUAUACGGGAACAUAGCAAGAUCCUUCGGUAAGAAACGGGAGGAGGACGGACACACACAUCAGUGGAAGGUCUAUUUGAAGCCCUACUUCAAUGAGGACAUGUCCAUUUAUGUGAAAAAGGUGCACUUUAAGCUGCACGAAAGUUACGCCAAUCCGAACAGGAUCGUUGUGAAGCCGCCCUACGAGAUCACGGAGACGGGUUGGGGCGAAUUCGAAGUGGUAAUCAAAAUCUACUUCAACGAUCAGUCGGAACGCCCAGUUACGUGCUACCACAUCCUGAAGCUCUUUCAGUCGCCCGUCGUUGAUGGCGAGCUCACUUCCAGCACCACUAUGGACACCAAGAAGGGUCUGGUCUCGGAGUCCUACGAGGAGAUCGUCUUCCAAGAGCCCACACAGAUCAUGCAGCAUUUUCUGUUGCUCUCAGAACAGAGCGCCAAUGGGCUUUUAUCCCAUGACACUGACUUUGAGGAAAAAAAAACGAAAACGCUGGACAACAUUGUCAAUGUGAAACAGAAGGUCAAAGGGGAGAUCGUUACACUUAAGGACAAACUAAAGCUGGCACGUGAGACCAUAUCUAAAUUUAAGGCAGAAUUGGCCAAGGUGCAAAAGCAACCUGCGUAAUAUAUACAUAUGUACACCGUUUCUGCUGAAAAGCUAUUGAAACAUUUUAGAAAUCAAUUUCAUUGGUUUUAAGAACCUAUGUUACAUUUUGCGAUAUAUCGAUGACUAUCGAUGUGAAAAGUUAUGGAUUAGCUGAAGCUUUCUGUUCUGAAUAUACAAUACCGUUUUUCUUAAUAUCAAGAUGACUUAAAUGAUGAGUGCCUGCUUCAAAUUAUAGAGUAUCUGGAGCUCGAAGAACAACUUAUUCUAUGGCAGGCUACUGAGUCCUUUUCACGUUUAAAUAAGGUUGUUUCAAGCUUUUGGCAGAACCAAAACAAACACUCUUUACAUUGGAAAACAUUUAAAAAUAAGGCGGUACUUCUUUAUAACUUUCUGGAGUGCAUCAGUUCUACGAUAGUGAACGUAACUCUCGAAGAUUUUCCCAUAGAUCAGCUGUAUGUUUUCAGAAGUCAUUGUUUUCCGAUGGCUCGGAUUCUGGACUAUUCGGUAAAAAAAUCCGAUGUUGACGAUGAUAUAGAGAGUCUGGUAAAUUGCUUUCCCCUCAUAGAGUCCUUUAAAGCCAGAAUUGAAGGUAAGGACCAUACCUUUGAAAUACUAAACGGCCAUCAUGUCGCCAGAUGGAAGCACCUUCGAAGACUGGACAUAAUUGGUGCUUCCAGACACUGGAAAACAAAAUGUUUUCAAAAAAUAUGCCAGAUAUUGCCCCUACAGUUUUUGAGCGUCGCGUGGAGAGAAUCGGAGGAAGACGACUAUGUGGAGGCUAUAUUAAAAUUACAGGAACUUGAAGAACUGCAACUGGAGCUCAAUCUCGUCAGUAGGGAAAAUACAAACAAGCUAUUGACUUUGCCAAAGUUGCGAAAACUUCGCAUUGAUGAAUUUAAAGACGUGGAGAAUUUUUUGGAUAGCAUAGUCGAAAUGCGGAGACAGGAUGUUGUGGCACUCACCUGCAACGAGAACUUUUGGCUCUGGCUUACUCCCAACCGCUUUCAAAAUGUGCGAAAAGUUUCCAUAAUUAAUGAAGGAGUGGUGGAUGGACUAUGGUGUGCACAAAGUUUUAAAAACGCUAUUAACGAAUUUCCAAGAUUAACAGAAUUGUAUUUGGAGAACAUAACCAUUUGGGAGACUGGUGAUGCAUUUUGGGACAUGGUAUACUCCUGUCCUCAACUCCAACUUUUACAAUUGCAAAACCACGAGGUAGAGGAUGGAUUCUUAGAGUUCAGUGCGUCGACUAUGAACAAGGCUUUAUAUCAGCGCAAAAAGCGUUUGGUCAUACAUUUUUCUAAAACUUGUCAGAAGGAUUUGAUUUUGCAGCUUUAUAAUCAUUCCAUGCUAAAGAUUUUAUUUAAAGUCAUCAAGGAUGCUUAUCCAAAUUUGAUUGGUGGCCUUCUAGAACUGGAAUUUACGACUAGAAAGGUUUUGUAAGCAAACAAAUUAUAUAUACAUUUUAUAAAAUAAUUAAAUUGAACUCUAAAUUAA